AUUGAACGCUGGCGGCAUGCCUAACACAUGCAAGUCGAACGGCAGCAAGAAAUGGGGUAACCCAUUUUGAUGGCGAGUGGCGGACGGGUGAGUAAUAUGUAGGAAUCUACCUAGAGGUGCGGGAUAACUUAGGGAAACUUAAGCUAACACCACAUAAGCCCCACGGGGGAAAGCAGGGGACCGCAAGGCCUUGCGCCUUAUGAUGAGCCUACAUCGGAUUAGCUUGUUGGUGGGGUAAAGGCCUACCAAGGCGACGAUCCGUAGCUGGUCUGAGAGGAUGAUCAGCCACACUGGGGCUGAGACACGGCCCAGACUCCUACGGGAGGCAGCAGUGGGGAAUAUUGGACAAUGGGCGAAAGCCUGAUCCAGCAAUGCCGCGUGUGUGAGGAAGGCCUUAGGGUUGUAAAGCACUUUCAGUGGGGAGGAAGUUGAGUUUGCUAAUACCAGAUUCAAUUGACGUUACCCACAGAAGAAGCACCGGCUAACUCUGUGCCAGCAGCCGCCGUAA
This 508-nucleotide ribosomal RNA is filed under the name uncultured bacterium. Its description in RNAcentral is "partial 16S ribosomal RNA". It matches the Rfam family "Bacterial small subunit ribosomal RNA", at positions 30 to 523 of the family's 1533-position model. The record is from RNAcentral.